This 373-nucleotide ribosomal RNA is filed under the name uncultured organism. RNAcentral's name for it is "bacterial SSU rRNA". It matches the Rfam family "Bacterial small subunit ribosomal RNA", at positions 526 to 896 of the family's 1533-position model. The record is from RNAcentral.
CGGAGGAUCCAAGCGUUAUCCGGAAUUACUGGGCGUAAAGAGUUGCGUAGGUGGCAGAGUAAGUUGGUAGUGAAAGCGUACGGCUCAACCGUAUACACAUUACUAAAACUGCUCAGCUAGAGGACAAGAGAGGUUAUUGGAAUUCCUAGUGUAGGAGUGAAAUCCGUAGAUAUUAGGAGGAACACCGAUGGCGUAGGCAGAUAACUGGCUUGUUCCUGACACUAAGGCACGAAAGCGUGGGGAGCGAACGGGAUUAGAUACCCCGGUAGUCCACGCCGUAAACGAUGGAUGCUAGCUGUAUUCGGUAUCGACCCCGGAUGUAGCGAAGCUAACGCGUUAAGCAUCCCGCCUGUGGAGUACGGUCGCAAGACUA